This 497-nucleotide ribosomal RNA is filed under the name uncultured bacterium. RNAcentral's name for it is "partial 16S ribosomal RNA". It matches the Rfam family "Bacterial small subunit ribosomal RNA", at positions 28 to 507 of the family's 1533-position model. The record is from RNAcentral.
GAUGAACGCUGGCGGCGUGCCUAAUACAUGCAAGUCGAGCGAACAGACGAGGAGCUUGCUCCCCUGACGUUAGCGGCGGACGGGUGAGUAACACGUGGAUAACCUACCUAUAAGACUGGGAUAACUUCGGGAAACCGGAGCUAAUACCGGAUAAUAUAUUGAACCGCAUGGUUCAAUAGUGAAAGACGGUUUUGCUGUCACUUAUAGAUGGAUCCGCGCCGCAUUAGCUAGUUGGUAAGGUAACGGCUUACCAAGGCAACGAUGCGUAGCCGACCUGAGAGGGUGAUCGGCCACACUGGAACUGAGACACGGUCCAGACUCCUACGGGAGGCAGCAGUAGGGAAUCUUCCGCAAUGGGCGAAAGCCUGACGGAGCAACGCCGCGUGAGUGAUGAAGGUCUUCGGAUCGUAAAACUCUGUUAUUAGGGAAGAACAAAUGUGUAAGUAACUAUGCACGUCUUGACGGUACCUAAUCAGAAAGCCACGGCUAACUACGUG